AGCGUAUAUUAAAGUUGUUGCAGUUAAAAAGCUCGUAGUUGAAUUUUAGGCCUGGCCGGGCGGUCCGUCUUUGGCGAGUACUGUUCUGUGUCGGGUCUUACCCUCUGGUAAACCGGCAUGUUCCUUUAUCGUGUAUGCCGGGGAACCAGGACCAUUACCUUGAAAAAAUUAGAGUGCUUAAAGCGGGCUUUUGCUUGAAUAGAUUANCAUGGAAUAAUAAAAUAGGACGUUGGUUCUAUUUUGUUGGUCUAGGACCACCGUAAUGAUUAAUAGGGAUAGUUGGGGGCAUUAGUAUUCAAUUGUCAGAGGUGAAAUUCUUGGAUUUAUUGAAGACUAACUAUUGCGAAAGCAUUUGCCAAGGAUGUUUUCAUUAAUCAAGAACGAAAGUUAGGGGAUCGAAGACGAUCAGAUACCGUCGUANUCUUAACCAUAAAC
RNAcentral lists this ribosomal RNA (435 nucleotides) under uncultured Glomeromycotina. RNAcentral's name for it is "SSU rRNA". It matches the Rfam family "Eukaryotic small subunit ribosomal RNA", at positions 596 to 1037 of the family's 1831-position model. The record is from RNAcentral. Lineage: Eukaryota; Fungi; Glomeromycota.